GAUGAACGCUGGCGGCGUGCCUAAUACAUGCAAGUCGAGCGAACAGACGAGGAGCUUGCUCCUCUGACGUUAGCGGCGGACGGGUGAGUAACACGUGGAUAACCUACCUAUAAGACUGGGAUAACUUCGGGAAACCGGAGCUAAUACCGGAUAAUAUAUUGAACCGCAUGGUUCAAUAGUGAAAGACGGUUUUGCUGUCACUUAUAGAUGGAUCCGCGCCGCAUUAGCUAGUUGGUAAGGUAACGGCUUACCAAGGCGACGAUGCGUAGCCGACCUGAGAGGGAGAUCGGCCACACUGGAACUGAGACAAGGUCCAGACUCCUACGGGAGGCAGCAGUAGGGAAUCUUCCGCAAUGGGCGAAAGCCUGACGGAGCAACGCCGCGUGAGUGAUGAAGGUCUUCGGAUCGUAAAACUCUGUUAUUAGGGAAGAACAAAUGUGUAAGUAACUAUGCACGUCUUGACGGUACCUAAUCAGAAAGCCACGGCUAACUACGUG
Molecule: ribosomal RNA, 497 nt
Filed under: uncultured bacterium
Lineage: Bacteria
Description: partial 16S ribosomal RNA
Rfam family: Bacterial small subunit ribosomal RNA
Source: RNAcentral